Molecule: ribosomal RNA, 497 nt
Filed under: uncultured bacterium
Lineage: Bacteria
Description: partial 16S ribosomal RNA
Rfam family: Bacterial small subunit ribosomal RNA
Source: RNAcentral
GAUGAACGCUGGCGGCGUGCCUAAUACAUGCAAGUCGAGCGAACGGACGAGAAGCUUGCUUCUCUGAUGUUAGCGGCGGACGGGGGAGUAACACGUGGAUAACCUACCUAUAAGACUGGGAUAACUUCGGGAAACCGGAGCUAAUACCGGAUGAUAUUUUGAACCGCAUGGUUCAAAAGUGAAAGACGGUCUUGCUGUCACUUAUAGAUGGAUCCGCGCUGCAUUAGCUAGUUGGUAAGGUAACGGCUUACCAAGGCAACGAUGCAUAGCCGACCUGAGAGGGUGAUCGGCCACACUGGAACUGAGACACGGUCCAGACUCCUACGGGAGGCAGCAGUAGGGAAUCUUCCGCAAUGGGCGAAAGCGUGACGGAGCAACGCCGCGUGAGUGAUGAACGUGUCCGGAUCGUAAAACUCUGUUAUUAGGGAAGAACAUAUGUGUAAGUCACUGUGCACAUCUUGACGGUACCUAAUCAGAAAGCCACGGCUAACUACGUG